CAGUCGCCGCGGUAAUACGGAGGGGGCUAGCGUUGUUCGGAAUUACCGGGCGUAAAGCGCACGUAGGCGGCUUGGUAAGUUAGAGGUGAAAGCCUGGAGCUCAACUCCAGAAUUGCCUUUAAGACUGCCGAGCUAGCAGGUGAGAGAGGUAAGUGGAAUUCCGAGUGUAGAGGUGAAAUUCGUAGAUAUUCGGAAGAACACCAGUGGCGAAGGCGGCUUACUGGCUCAUACUGGACGCUGAGGUGCGAAAGCGUGGGGAGCAAACAGGAUUAGAUACCCGGGUAGUCCCUGUCUCUUAUAC
Molecule: ribosomal RNA, 301 nt
Filed under: uncultured bacterium
Lineage: Bacteria
Description: partial 16S ribosomal RNA
Rfam family: Bacterial small subunit ribosomal RNA
Source: RNAcentral